This 70-nucleotide transfer RNA is filed under the name Purpura persica. RNAcentral's name for it is "tRNA-Tyr". It matches the Rfam family "tRNA". From Rfam's summary of the family: Transfer RNA (tRNA) molecules are approximately 80 nucleotides in length. The record is from RNAcentral. Lineage: Eukaryota; Metazoa; Mollusca; Gastropoda; Neogastropoda; Muricidae.
UUGUUCGAUGGCUGAGUGCGAAGGCGGUAGACUGUAGAUCUAUUAACGGAGUUAAUUCUCCUCAACAAAC